This 123-nucleotide non-coding RNA is filed under the name unclassified sequences. Its description in RNAcentral is "DUF3800-I RNA". It matches the Rfam family "DUF3800-I RNA". From Rfam's summary of the family: Actinobacteria, Firmicutes, Fusobacteria, Proteobacteria (1 example), Tenericutes (2 examples). The record is from Rfam by way of RNAcentral.
UUGUAUUACCGGAGAGAAAUCUCGUCAGGUCGAUAGUUAGGUCGCGAAUAUUUAUAUUUAAGCGUAAUUCUAAGUACGCCGCCCUAAUUGGGAAAAGCCCUUGCGGGCUUUUUUCUUUUGAUA